GCCGGCACAUCAAAUGGGCCGCAAAUAUCAGAAUGUACCAAAGUAAGUAUCUCUGUGGUCUUUUCUUCAUGUCUAAUAAAGAAAAGCUUGAUCAUUUUUUCUUGAAGGCAUAACUCAUAGACCGGAUAUGACUCGAAAGCCAACAGACCAAUUGUCUGAUUUUCUUCAUUCUGUUAAUCCUGUUUUCUCUGAUGUGACUUAGCCUUAGGUGCCAUAAAUACAUUUCGUUUAGAUUAUCUCUAGGAUGCUUAGAACCUACAGCAUUCAUAUUUCGCUCGAUAUAAUUAAUAAAUAUAUCAACAUGUAGUUGAAAAAGACC
RNAcentral lists this long non-coding RNA (319 nucleotides) under Elaeis guineensis (African oil palm). RNAcentral describes it as "long non-coding RNA (EGUI_LNC001825)". Lineage: Eukaryota; Viridiplantae; Streptophyta; Magnoliopsida; Arecales; Arecaceae. The record is from RNAcentral.